Molecule: ribosomal RNA, 423 nt
Filed under: uncultured Succiniclasticum sp.
Lineage: Bacteria; Bacillati; Bacillota; Negativicutes; Acidaminococcales; Acidaminococcaceae
Description: bacterial SSU rRNA
Rfam family: Bacterial small subunit ribosomal RNA
Source: RNAcentral
GGAAUCUUCCACAAUGGACGCAAGUCUGAUGGAGCAACGCCGCGUGUAUGAAGAAGGUCUUCGGAUCGUAAAAUACUGUUGUCAGAGAAGAACACGUGAUAGAGUAACUGCUAUGACGCUGACGGUAUCUGACCAGCAAGUCACGGCUAACUACGUGCCAGCAGCCGCGGUAAUACGUAGGUGGCAAGCGUUGUCCGGAAUUAUUGGGCGUAAAGCGCAUGUAGGCGGUAAUUUAAGUCUGUCGUGAAACUGCGGGGCUCAGCCCCGUAUGGCGAUGGAAACUGGGUUACUUGAGUGCAGGAGAGGAAAGGGGAACUCCCAGUGUAGCGGUGAAAUGCGUAGAUAUUGGGAAGAACACCGGUGGCGAAGGCGCCUUUCUGGACUGUGUCUGACGCUGAGAUGCGAAAGCCAGGGUAGCGAACG